Molecule: ribosomal RNA, 709 nt
Filed under: uncultured bacterium
Lineage: Bacteria
Description: bacterial SSU rRNA
Rfam family: Bacterial small subunit ribosomal RNA
Source: RNAcentral
AGAGUUUGAUCAUGGCUCAGAUUGAACGCUGGCGGCAUGCUUAAUACAUGCAAGUCGAACGGUAACAUACUCUUCGGAGUGAUGACGAGUGGCGGACGGGUGAGUAAUACAUAGGAAUCUACCUAGUAGUGGGGGACAACCUGGGGAAACUCAGGCUAAUACCGCAUGUUUCUUACGAGAUAAAGAGGGCCUCUUCUUGAAAGCUCUCGCUAUUAGAUGAGCCUAUGUCAGAUUAGCUAGUUGGUAGGGUAAAAGCCUACCAAGGCUACGAUCUGUAGCUGGUUUGAGAGGACGAUCAGCCACACUGGGACUGAGACACGGCCCAGACUCCUACGGGAGGCAGCAGUAGGGAAUAUUGGACAAUGGGCGAAAGCCUGAUCCAGCAAUGCCGCGUGUGUGAAGAAGGCCUGCGGGUUGUAAAGCACUUUUGUUUGGGAGGGAAAGCUUAAAGUUAAUACCUUUAAGUGUUGACGUUACCAAUAGAAUAAGCACCGGCUAACUCUGUGCCAGCAGCCGCGGUAAUACAGGGGGUGCGAGCGUUAAUCGGAAUUACUGGGCGUAAAGCGUGCGUAGGCGGUUAAAUAAGUCGGAUGUGAAAGCCCAAGGCUUAACCUUGGAAUUGCAUUCGAUACUGUUUAGCUAGAGUACAGUAGAGGGAAGCGGAAUUCCUAGUGUAGCGGUGAAAUGCGUAGAUAUUAGGAAGAACACC